GCCCGUUAUCGGAGUC
RNAcentral lists this transfer RNA (16 nucleotides) under Octoblepharum cocuiense. RNAcentral's name for it is "partial tRNA-Thr". Lineage: Eukaryota; Viridiplantae; Streptophyta; Bryopsida; Dicranales; Calymperaceae. The record is from RNAcentral.